CCUGUAACGGUACUUCUUGCUCAGUGACAGCAGCAACCCACCUCCUUAUCCCUUUCAUUGGCUUAUAAACCCGUCCUUUAAACCACUAUUUGGGAGGUCGGGCCAUCAGUUUCGGCGUUUUUUCCAGAGAGGCAGGCUCACAGCGAUAUCGCGAGAGACGAGUUUCACUCUCGUUGCCCAGGCUGGAGUGCAAUGGCAUGAUCUUGGCUCACUGCAACAUCUGCCUCCUGGGUUCCAGUGAUUCCCCUGCCUCAGCCUCCUGAGCACCAACAGGUUGUAAAAACCCCAUCAGGGCAGUGACUGAGUGUGUGUCACUGUGUGCAGCAUCCCCAGAACCUAAUACCAUGACUGCAUGGAACAAGCACCCGGAUAUAGGAAUGAAGGACGCUACUGGUGGCCCCGUCCAGUUCUGAGAAAAUGCUGCCACAAGCUACAAGAGAAAUCUGCUUCUCUGAAGCCUUUAAAGAUUUGGUUACUUUUUCAAAAUGAAUAUUCUUUAAUACACAAUUUCAAUAAUUUCUGAAAUGAGGAUAAUGGCUGGGUUUUUUUUUUUUUUUUUUUUUUUGAGAUGGAGUCUCGCUGUCACCCAGGCUGGAGUGCAGUGGUGCAAUCUCAGCUCACUGCAACCUCUGCCCCCCGGGUUCAAGCAAUUCUCGUGCCUCAGCCUCCUGAGUAGCUGGGAUUACAGGUGCCCGCCACCACGACUGGCUAAUUUUUUUAUUUUUAGUAGAGACGGAGUUUCACCAUCCAUGUUGGCCAGGGAGGUCUUGAACUCCUGACCUCAAGUGAUCCGCCUAUGGCUGGCUUUUUAUAAUAGUUAAGAAUACUGCUCCUGGAGUCAGAGGGUCUGGUUCUCAUCCUCUGAUUUUGAUCACAACUUGCUGCAUGAUGAUGAUCAAGUGUUUGAACUUCCCAGUGCAUCCAUUUCCUCCUGGGUAAAGUGGGGCUAAUACCGUUAAAGCAAUGAUGUAAAAAUUAAAUGAGCUAACACAAGUGAGCGUUCAGAAUUGCAUCUAGUGCAUGGGAAUCCCUCAUAAGUAUUAGCUAUUAUUAUCAGUGUGCUAUCAGCUUGGAACUCAUGUAGUUCUGCUACAGAUUUGUAUUGUUCCUGAAAACAGAAUAUGAGACCAAAUUGAGGCCAGGUGUAAAGGCAUCUGGACCUUAUAUCCCUGCUGUCUAGUUUCUUCAAGAGGCCAGAGAGAACCUCCCUCAACUCCAGCCUACCAAGUGUCAUUUAUUUUAAUGCAGUGUGCCCCCAGUCUUAGGAAAUGGAAUUCUUCAUCUUCCAAGGCCUCUGGCUGAGACUGGAGACUUGUGCCUGCUCCACUGCUUGGCUGGAUUAGAUGCCCUAGAAAGAUACUUUUAACUCAGAGAAACUGUGACUCCAUGAAAGGGUCAGAUCCCACCAAAAGUCAUCCCAGUUCUCCAUCAGUUUCUCUCUCCACUCCACCUCCCCCAGCCCAUCCUCCGUCUGGGCUCCAGGGCUCUUUCCUUCUGUGUUCCCACAGGAUGGUGCCUGCUUUUACCCACCCUCUAGACUUUGCCCCAGUCACCUCAAACAGCCGAGGGUCCAAAUUUAGUAAUAGAAAUUCACUUCUCUAACCACUUUACAAAAACAUUAACUCAUAACUCACGGAAACCCAAUGAAGUCGGUGCUGGUGGCACCUCCAUUUUACAGAUGAUGAAACCGAGGAGAGGAGGGAGGUUGAAUAACUUGGCCCAAGGUCACUUGCUGAAAAGUGGCAGAGCUAGGAUUCACUGCCUCUGGUUCACUGCCUUGAAAGGAAGGAAAGUCUCCCCACUCCCACCACUGGGGAACUCUUCUUUAACUUUCUCCACAGUAUCAUUGGUCCGAUAAAUGAGAGGCAAGGAGAGAAACAAAGAUGGAUGUAUGUAUAAACUUAGGCAAGCAUGGAGAGCCAUGGUGAUGUGGUUAAGUGUUAGUUCUUGAGCUGAAUUGCACUGGUUAGUGUCCUGGAUUUUGAAUGUACUAACCCUGGAAAAUAAAAUUAGAAUAAUAAUAAGUGUACAUACAUACCUUACAAAGUCAUUUUGGACAUGAAGUUAAUAAAUAUUAAGCCCCUUAGAACAAUGUCUGGCAUAUAGUAAGUGCUCAAUACUUGUUAUCUGCCUUUUUUUUUUCUUUUUACGUUCUCAAAAGGCAGAAGCAGCAAUGCCUUUGUAUAAAGAAUGGUAGACUUGGAAUCAGAAGAUUGAGUCUGAGUACCACUUAGCUUUUGCUUCCUGUAUGAUCACCAGUGAAGCAUUUUUCCUCUGUGAGGCCUUGCUGUUUUCAUCCCUAAAAUUGGGAUGAUGAUACUUUUACACACUGAGAUGGUGGCCUAUGAAAGAGCUUUGUAAAUUUGCAAGCUGUGGCCAAAUAAUUAUCCCAUUUUGUGAUUUAGGACUUCUCCUAGAGUAGACAGAAAGUUGCCUUUCAGAAGGUCUUCAGACUCGCUUCUUGGCCUUUUGGCUAAGUUCAAGUGCAGAAAGUCUUCAGACUGAAAAUACCUUCAUCUUUUAGAAUUCCACCACUGGAGAGUCAUUGUCCGAGUCUUCCAGACUUACUAAGAUAAAUGGCAGGAAGUAGAGAGCCCAGUGUGUUUGCGGGGAGAGAAGAGAAGUCUCAGGAAUAUGACUGCCGUCUUCAAGGAGUUGAAAGGCUGUCACAGGGUGGCCUGGUCAGACUUCUGAGUGACCAACAGGUAAGAACUGGGUCUCUAAGUGGAAGUGUCAGGGCUGAUUUAGUGUGAAAAAAGAAGAGCAUUCUUUUGAUUAUAGCUCUCGGAAAGUGGAAAGGGCUACCUGAUAGUGAGUGCCUGCCAUUGGAGGCAUUCAAACAGAGAUUUGAGACCACUCCAUGGGAAUGUGGUAGAGGAAAUGUAACGAGUCAGGUGGUGAUGAAACUAGUUGACCUGGGCCUGGGAAGAUCUAAUUCAUCCUAGAAUGGCAGCACGCUGUGAGGGAGGGGAGCGCCUCUGAGGGAGCGGAGAGCUGGUUAUGCAGGGACGCAGGAGGAAAGUAUAGGGGGAGGCCUGCUGGGAACACAGGCCCAGCUCAGCAGAAUUCACUCUUUUCCCAGAGUAGCUCCUGUCUCUUCGGCCACUUUAGGCCCUAAAGCCUAGAACUGUACAUGAUACACUCAUUCAUUCAGUUAAUUCAGCAAAUAUUUACAGGCCUGAGAGUCAAUUCCCACAGCGGACACAGUGUGGGAUUGCCUGCCCUGGCAAGCCUCCUGCCUGGUGACCAGCAGAGGGCAGGAGAGACGUGCAGAUGCCAAACCCUGCACAGCCCACUAGCCAAGUGAGCUUCCCUGCCGGGGAAACUGGGUCACUCAGUCCUGCCAAGCUGCAAACAUUCCGAGGGUUGUGAGCAUGUUGGGCCUCUCCGGCAAGGGCCUCUCCAGCAAGGACCUCUCCAGCAAGGGCUAUGAGGCCCUAGAUGUCACCUGGCAAGGCUGAGACCUCAGACCUCUGGACUGGCAAAGUCGCUCCCUCCUGCAUGGGGAAGGAAGGAAGGAUGAGGCUGAUAACAUGCGAUGGCUCAGGGAGAAGGCUGAAGGGAUCUCUUCCCAGCAAAGUGUUUCAAGUAACAGGGACAGCCCAGUCUACAUGUCACAGAGGAGCCAUGGGAGGCCAGGCCUGCCACGGUGGAUGGGUGGGGCCGUUUGCUUCAGAGAAUGCCUGGACUUCACUAAAGGAGUUUGAGGCUCUCCUUAGGCUGGGCUGAAACCCCCAUUUGGAAGUGCAUAAAAGGCUAACUCUCUGGAUAUGAAUGGGUGAAUGCCAAAUCUGAUACCUGAGUGGUUAGGAGGCAGGUUUGGAGUCAGAUUUGCCUUUGUGUCCUGGUUUUCCAUCUAUAUGUCAUGGGACCUUGGGUAAGUCAUUUUCAGACUUGAUUUCCUUUUCUAUAAACUGGUGGUGCUACUGUGAGUAUUAAGUGGAAUAAUGAAGCAAGUGUGCAGAUUGCGAUUCUUUCUCCUUCCCAGCUCUCUCUCAUCCUGGUCGGGGGACUGUGUGCUUGGGAUAACAGUUGAAGCAGAUGUUUUUUUGAGAAUGGAAGCGAAGAGUGGAUGCCCACCAUGCUGUCAGUCUGGGCAGGGUGAACUCAACCUGAAGGAAUGCUGUUCUGGGUAAAGCACGUGGAGCCACCUCUCCCCAGGCUUCUCUGGCCCCCAUAGAGUCCUGCUGCAGAAAGAUGCGCAGUGUAUGAAGGCUCGCGUGGCCUCUUGAAGUCUGAGGGUUAAGAAAUCAGGGAGGUGAAAUAGGCCUGGAAUGGGAGGAAACUGGAGGAUGGAAUGGGAAGGAGCCAUUCCCCAAAUUCCCAUUCCAUUUAUGGACUCUGACGGUUAGAAGGGCCACUUGAACCUGCAAGCAAGGACCAGUUUAUGCACUCUUCAAAAUGUGUUUUCUCAACUAAUCUAAGACAUUGAAGCAAGGACUUUGUUGCCCAUUCCUCUCCAGGAGGGAUGGUGGGUGCUGAUGCUGCUAUGUAAAGGCUCUCAGCACCGUGCUCAAUACUUGUUUGCUAUUGAUGAGGAAGGAAUCUUGGACAAGUAAUUUGAGUUCCCAGUUUUACUGAUUAAAAAAUAAAUAGAACUGAGGCUCAGAGAACUGUGGAACCAGGAGAGGUAAAGUUCCUCUCAUUUGCAAUUGCUGCUAGAAUCCUCAUCUGUGACCAUCUGGAGAAAGUGGCUCGAUCCCUAUGGUGAGCUGCUCAAAUCUUGGAGUCUCUCUGCCUCCUUGGGGAUUUCUCUUUGGAUACAUCCUCUCUACUAAACUCUAGCCACUGCUUGUGUUACCCAACCCCAGAUGGGAGACAGACUGAGUUUUCCUCAUUCCAGCCUAUCCUUUAGGGCUCCAAGGAGCAGCAAGUGCUUCUCAGGUUGAGGGGUAAUUCACCAGGUGUGUAGUGCUGGCAGCACAAUGUGAUAGAGCCAGUCACCUGCAUUGCAAUUCCAGCACCACCAUGUACUGGCUGUGGGACCUUAGGCAAGAUACUUGAUAUCUACAAGUCUCAGUGUCCCCAUCUAUAAAAUAGGGACACUAAUAGUAUUUACCUUAUAGCUCCUGUUCUUUCCAGUCCCUCUUAAUCUGAAAUUGGAAGGAUGAAUAAAUUAAACAGCCAUCUUCUUCCCUGGGAAAGCCAAAGAGCAACUCAAAAGGAAAGAAUCGGAAGCUGGGCUUUGGAGUCUUCUUGUCCAGGCACUAGGAGCUGUUGGGUGGUGUAAAUAGCCCUGGGCUGGGAGAGAGGACCAUGGCCUAGCACAUCUCUGCUAUCAGAUUGCUACCUUAUCCACAUUGCCAAGCCUCUUUGGGCCUUAGUAUCCUCCUCUGGACAAUGACAAGGUUGAGCUUGCUGACCAUGGAGGUCCCUGUAGCCCUGCCCCUACUGAGAUUCUCAGCCGCAGAGCUGGGCCCUCGUUCUUUGGGAUUCAGCCCAGGCGUCACACAGUCACAGUGGCUGAAGAGGCAGCACUUUGCUGAGCUCUGGCCUACUUCCCAGAGAAGGUCACUCGGCCCCAGGGAAGCCCCUGGUUUGCUGGUUUGGAUGCUGUGGAGGGCCAGGCAACAGGGACCUUAGCCUAUUGGCAUCUGGUUCCAGCCAAAGCUUUUCAGGGACGUGUGAGGGUAAGCAGCAGGGCUGGCAGAAGCAGUGAAAACCAGCCCGGAGCUUACGUUCUGUGGCCUUGCUUUGAAAUCUACAACCUCAGCCACCUGGGAAAUGAUGAAGCUCUGAAAAGAAACACUGGUCAGGGGCCCAGGGGAAGUUUCCUCCUGAAAGGCCUGUGUGAGGAUGGAUUCCAUGUGAGGGGGAAAGUAUUGAUAGAAGGAGGCUCUGCAAAGGAAAGCAAGCAGGGAAGGAGCAGGUCAUUAAAGGAUUCAGAUGGGCUGGCUUGGAGGACUUUCUGAACUGUGAGAACUAGAUGUGGUGUGGACUAUAAACAUGUGGGGGUAGGAAGUUGGAGAAGAAAGAACUCAGUGCCAGAGGGCUGCAAGAUCUUCCAGGAGGUGCCUUAGAGCUGGCUGCUCUCGGCUCUCAGGCAGGGGAUUGGUUGGAUUUCCUUCCUCAGGCAGUGAACUCUCCUAGAUACCGGACUCAUUCAUUUGACAGCUAAUGCCUGGUUAUAACUGACUCUGUAAAGUGUACUCCCAUGUGUUGACUCAUUGGAUCUAAUGACCACUGUCUGGAGUCAGUGGAGACUGGUAUGAUUAUGAUCAUCCGUGUUUAGAGACAGAAAAGCAAGGGCCACUCAGAAGUGCCUCAUGCAGGGUCACCCAGCUUCCAAGGCUUGGGGUUGAGAUUUGAACCCAUGUCUAUCUAUCUUCGAAUCCUGUGUUUAUUACAUCAAGAUGCCAACUCCCAGUGUCCUCCUAUUACCUUGUAGCAAGGGUAGACAACAUCCUCCUACCUUUAUCACAUGCAGACUGGCCAGAUUUUGGUGGAAAUGUAGACAUUUUCAGGGAAAACCAGAUGCUCUGGUUGCCUAUCCCCACUGUGAGCAGGAAAAUAGCUCAGUAUUCACAGGGUCACCAGGAGAAUGCCUAGCAUUAACUUAAAGUAGUCCUCUAGGCUCUCUCCUUCCACAGGCCCACAUCUUGGGGCCUGAUGUACUCUGAGGUCCACCUGGAUCUUGAUGCCUCCACUUCCGCUUGGUGACUCCACUCCAGGACUUUUUGGUGACUCAUGCAGAGGGAAAAUACAUGGCCUUACAGAGCCAGGCAGAGCCACUGGAGUCCUGAUGAAGGCUCUCUUAACCAGAUGACCUUGAGCAAAUUGCUGAGCCCUCCAGGCCUGGGUUCCCUCAUUUGUUAAAAUGAUGACAACCAACUACACCAAACAAAACUUACAGCUUUGUUAUGAGAAUUGAAUGAAUUAACCCAUGUGAAGCCACCUCAUUCUAAGGAGAUAUUCAAUAAAUGCCCUUUUUCACCGCAUAGGAGUGGGAAACUUUGUGGCAAGAAGAAAGGUUAUGGGAAUGAUAAUCACUGAGCACUUAAAACAUACCCAUUAUUAUGCUCAAUUCUUUACUCAAAAUGUGCUAUCUCAAUUAAUCCUCCCAGCACUCCUAUGACGCAGGUAGUAUGCAUCCUCCAAUUUGCAGAUUAAAAAACUGAUACCUCAAGAUGUUAGAUUCCUUGUCCAAGGCCAACGUGAUCAGGAAUCUGAUGCGGAGCUCAAGUACUGAACAUCUAAGAUGCCCUGCAACAAAUCCUGCUCUCCUGUCGUGAUUGGAGCAUCCCUGCCUGAAAUGCACUCUCAUUCCAUGUUUAGAUUUUUGAUUCAAAGAAGCAAGAGCCUCCUGUAGGGAGAUUCCCAUCUCUCAUGCUAGGCCACUCCCUCUCCUAAGCGCUCAGAAACUGUGCUUAUGUUUAACCCUUAGGCUUUCCAUGUAGUGUUAUACAUACGUAUGCAUGUCUCCUACCCUAGGCGAUGCUCUUUGAGGGCAUAGACAGAAUCUUAUUUUCUUUCUGUUUCCUCCCCACAUAACUAUUACCCACAGCACUUUGUAUGCAGUAGACUUUUCAUAAAUAUCUGCUGACUUGGAGUGUGUGUGAGGCAGGGUGAACAGGGAGCAUGAGAGAGCUGGAUUGGAAUUCCUCCUCCCACGGACUGUGGCUCUGGGCAAAUUACUCAACCUCUGUGGUUCUCCCUCAGUUUCCUCACUCUAAAAGGGGGUGAUAGCAUUUGCUGUCAAGGGGUUAUUAUGAGGAAAUGAAGUGAAAAAAUGCAGGCAAAGCAUUUACAUAGUGCCUGGCACAUAUUCCACACUCCAUCAGUGAUAUGUAUUCUAGUAGCUGCAGGGUGGUGCCUGGACAAGGUGGAUGGUCAUAAUGAGGAAGGAAAGAGCCCCAGGAGGCAUGAGAAACAAGGGCCUACUAAAGACCACACUUCCAAGGGGAUGGAACAGAGAUAGAUAAAAAGGAAGGAGAUAUUUUAAGGAAAGCUCAGUAAAAUGGAGAGGAGCCAACAAAAUGAAUGUGAGGCUGCUGGGAUAAGGGGGAAAGGAACUGAUUAGAAGCAAGAGAAGCCUGGAGCCAUGCCCCAGAGACUCUAUCCAGGAUGAAAGGAGGGGCCUGGAGAAGAGGUAGAUGUGCCCAGCCAAAAAGAGAAAAGGGCCAGGAGUGGGGAGGGGGUGACUGGGAAGAUGACAUUACAAACUAAGGUGGCUGUGGAAGGAGCAGUAUCUGCCUGGAUCCAAAAAGAGGAUCUGAAAGCCAAAAAGGAUGAAUAAUCCAGGCAUCGGGCUCAAGGCAGGAGGCAGCUGUUCAUUUGUGGCUUGAUGAGCACUUGACUAAGGUAGUUUAAGAAACUACUUCUAACGCAGUUUAGACUCGCUGGAGCAUGUGCCUCACCGAAGACCCCACCCAGCAGGCAUCACAGAGUAGUGGAAGCGGAAGGACCCCCAGACCCAUGGACACAGUCUGAGGAGACUACCGCCCCUUUCAUCCCUAGGGUGGGACAGCGGGAAAUUGCCAGAGACAGUCCGAGGAAGGCCUUCUGUCCUGUGCCUCUUUGGUAAAUCAAGCAGCGUCUUUCUGUGCAUCAAAUCUAGUCUCUGAAACUUGAAUCCAAAUUUGCUGACACAGGGGCUUCUAUCUGCAAGAGGUAUGCAGGGAUGGCCAAGGUCAGGGGCUCCUUUGACCACUUAGAAUCAGAUCUGGUCUCAGCUGGAGUCCUUGGUCCCUCCUCUGACCAUCACUUGGCCCCAUUCUCCACAGCGAGAGGAAGAAGCUUGCCAAGUGGCAAGAGUCAAGUCAUCGGCCUGCAGGGAAAGAAAUGUUCUUUCUGGCCUCAGGAUCUGAGCAAGAUUGUCCAAAGCAAUUUGCAGACUAACUUGAAAGGCGACAUGGACAGGAAGGUGUCUGGGGAAGCAGAAGGCCCCUCAUCCACAGAUCCUUGAGGCAGACAUGCCCUGCCUGUUAACUAGAAAUAGUACCAGGCCAGGAGCCCAGAGGAGCACCCCCAACCAGAUGUGAUGACAGCCUGUGCACAUAUAUGUAUACAUGUGAGUGCGCCUUGUCUCCUGGCUCCUUUCACUCCAGGGCAGGUACGGGUUGGUAGCAUGGGCUUGUGCUCUACUCAGUUAUUCAGGGACCUGGGUGGCCAUGGUUUUGCCGUCUCCAACCAAGGCUGCCCUGGGAUUUGGUGUCCAGUGGAUGCAGAAAGAAAGAACAUUGAGACCACACUGGGAUGUUUUUACAGUCAGGUCUGAAAGUGGCACACAUCACCUCACACUCCACUGACCAAAACUCAUUCCCAAGAACACAGCUAACCUGCAAGGCAGCCUGGGAAAUGAAGCCUAGCCAUAUGCCAGAGAAGGUGAGAUGGAUUUGGUGAUCAAUCAGCAAUCUCUGUCACAUGCCUAAAAGCACAGAGGACAUUUUGCGAUAGAGGAUUGGGAAGAAGCACCUGAGAACGGAACAGAUGGAAAAGACACGGGGAGCUUGGACAACAUCCCAAUGCUACCAUGGGGUAGCAUUAGUAGGCACCCAUCUCCUCACCUUAGGAGCAUGGUGUCCUGCAGGGAAGACAUGCUAGGAGUAUUUGACUUGGAGGCUCAAAGAACUGGGAAGCUCUUGGCCAAGGGGAAGGGUGUUCUCAAGGUCUAGAGGACCCUCUGAAGAGAGGCCUGGUAACCUAGGGCCAGCUCUGGGCUCAGAUGAGGCAGGUUCAGGCAACCUUAGGUCCAGCCCAAGUCACCAGGGGAGAAAAAAGGCAGAGGCCCAGAACUUACACUCCACACUGCAAUGCUCCCUGUGCAAUUCUCCUGUGCUCCACUUUUGUGGAAGGGGGCCAGGAAGCCAAGGUCUAGGAGGAGGAGCUAACCGAGAGGUCAGCAGGCAAGGAAUAUCACUGCCUGCAAAGGUCUGGCCACAAUGGAGCAGGGAACCCCAGGCAUGUGAGGAGGAGGAGCGCAGAGAAAGAAAGGAGGAAGGGCUAUACAUGAGAAAAGGGAAAUGGAGACAGAAAAGCCUAUUUUGUACAUGGUGUAAGAGGUGAGUCUUGAUUUUAGUGUUGAUCUUACUUUGGAGUGCCACAGACCUAUCCAGCAGAACCUUCUGCAGUGAUGGAAAUGUUCUCCACCUGUGCUAUCCAAUAAGGUAACCACUAGCCACAUGUGGCGACUGAGCACUUGAAGUGUGGCUAGUGUGACUUAGGAACUGAAUUUGUAAUUGCAUUCAAUUUUAACUAACUUAAAUCCAAUCAGACACAUGUGGCUAGUGGCUACUGUACUAGACAGCACAGGCAUAGUUUCAGACCAGGAGAAGUAAAGUAGCUGAUAGUCAUUUCAGCCGAAUGUCCUCAUUCUCUCUGCCUGUUACCACUCCUGGGCCCUCAGCUUCAUCCCAGCUUUGCCCUGUGGAUGAACCCUGGUGGAUGGCAAUGUAGUUCUACCCUUGGGCUUGGGCAGAUUUUGGACUCUGAUAUUCUCAUUUAUUCCUGUGGGUCUCUGAGACUGAGCAGCACAGUGUAGGGAAGAGAGAUUGGGCAGAGUGCUAGGCAGCCAGGAAGCAUUACUGAAUCUUCAUGGUCCUAGUUCUGCAGCUUCAAAAGGGGCUUGAGCCUUGUGUUCUCUGCCCUUGGUUUCCAGUCAUAGGGCUUUGGUCACCACCCCAUUAUCAGUAGGAGGACCUGAGGCACUGAGGCCUGAUGUGGUAGCAUUCUGCAAGAUGCUUGGGGAAAAGUGUCAUAACACAAGGAUGAGAAAUGUAAUUUCAUCUGCCACUCACCUACUACAUGCCCAGACUGUCUAAUGCCACUCACUUGCUCCGUACCCAGACUACCUACACUAUAAAUGCUUUAAUAUCCAGUGUCCUGGAGACCCUGCUUCAUUUUGAAUCUAACAUGUCGUCUCUGACAUGUUAACAUGUGGUUCCCACAUCAGCUGAAUCAGCUCUGCUUCGAAGCCUAUUGUCAUCAUCUCACAUCCUCUUGUCACUUCAGAAUAUUGAAGGAGAACAUUAUCAACAGACGUGACUGUCCAUUUCUGGUCCCUGAGAGAACUUUAGGCACAGGGCUGCCUUGCCAGUGCUUCAAAGCCAACAUCUGAGUCCCUGGAGCUUGCUCUACCCUUGAGACUUACCCCUGCCCACCUCUUGGCCCAGGCACCAAGCUAGAGGGGCAGAACCUACACUGAAUCCUUCCCCUCCUCUGUUGAUUCAUAGUUCUUUAUCUCCUCUGUUAUCCUCCCUCCCCUUUGGGGCACGGCUGAUUUUUAUCCUCUCUACAGGAUACAAGGUUGGCUGGUCCCAAAACAGUAUUUGAAAGUGGUGAAAGGGAGUUGAUAGGAAAGAGAUGGAGCACAGUGUGGCCACAGGGGCCAUGGACCAGGGGCCAAGUGGGGUCUAGCCUGCUUCUUACUUCCAUCCCCAGAGUCAACAUUUCCUUAAGGCCAGAGUUUUCUCCCAGUCUUGAAGGCUGACCCACUCUCUCCAUACGCCAGAACUGAAGCCACCCUCAGGUCCCAGUUUAAGCUUCACCGGAGUCCUCUGCCUCUGGCUGCACCAGCUCUCUGAGGCACCAGAAAGAGCUUUUCUUUUUCUUUUUCUUCUUGUUUUUUUUUUUUUUUUUUUGAAACAGAGUCUCACUCUGUCAUCCAGGCUGGAGUGCAGUGGCACAAUCACAGCUCACUGCUGCAGCCUCAAACUCUCAGGUUCAAGAGAUCCUCCCACCUCAGCCGACUGAGUAGAUGGGACUACAGGUGCGUGCCACCGCACCCGGCAAAUUUUUGUAUUUUUUAUAGAGAUGGGGUCUUGCUAUGUUGCCCAGGCUGGUCUAGAACUCCUGGGCUCAAGCAGUCCUCUUGCCUUAGUCUUUCAAAGUGCUGGGAUUACAAGCAUAAGCAACUGCACCCAGUCCAGAAAGCUCUUUCUAAAGGGCAAAGCUAAUGGUAUCCUGCCCCUUGCAACAUCCACCAAUGGAUGUUCAAUGGCUCCCCAGUAGAGGCCAGACUCCUUAGCAUGCCUUGGAAGAUCUGUCAUGCUUGUUCCUCUUCUCCAGCCCACACUCUAACCAGGCUGGGAUGCUCAGCUUUUCUCCUCUACUCCACACUGAGCUGUGAUGGUCCUAUGGAAGGCCUAAUCCUCUGGGCUUGGCCAAGAUUAUUCACAGUUCCCUGUGAGCUACCUCUAAAGUCUGCCAAUUUCUUUUCUUCCCAGGCAGCGCCCUUACUCCACAUUGCCUUUCUGAUCUGCUCGGGCAUACUACCUCUGUGGCAUAGCCCUUGUCUCCCUAACGCCAGUCAUAGGUGCUUUGACAGAACCAAAAAGGGCCUAUCAGACGCUUCUAGGAUCUUUUUGGUUUUGUCACAGCACCUAAGUGAGGCCUUACAAUUUUAAUUUCCUUAUCUGUCCCUGAACCCACUCCUAGGAACCAGCACAUGUUGGGCUCAUUCAUAUCAGUUUGGCUAAAUGGAAUGAAGUCCACCCUGGUCACCAGCCCAGGAAGCUUUCUCUUGCCCAAAGCCAGAUGAGAGAAUGAAUGCAGGACCUACAGUUGGUAGAGUUUACCAAGCACUUUUUACAAAUUGGUAUUAAGCUGUUGUUUCCCACAUGUGGCCUCUACCCCUAGCCCUCUACUCUCAAGGGCAGAGACCCAGAUGGGGCUGGUGCAGUCUCUUUCACAGAGUAGGUGCUCCAUACAUAGUUAUUGGAUGAAGCUGAGCUCAGACUUCAGUUUCGUUGUCCUCGCUGUUUUAUUUUUUGUUUUCUGGUGUACAGAGCCAUGCAAAGAAGUCUCAUGGACAACUGGUGCAUGCCCUUUCUCCUUACCCACUCUGCCCUUCAUGAACCUAGAGUCAGAGACUCCAAAGCUGGGGCCAGCAUGUUCUCCCCCAUCUCUGGACUGCCCUCUUGGGACCCACUUCCCACAGCCUCCUCCAUCCCCCUCCACAUCUGAUUCAUGGAUGCUCCUGCUCUGCAGGGCUUUGGUUGUGGCUGCUUCUCCACUGCUCUGCUGCUUGCUCAGCCAGAGCCCUGCCAAGCCUCCUCCUCCACACCUGAUGGCGUACCUGGCUGGGUUCUCAGCCUCACUUGGGAUUGCUUUCUUUCGUUCCAAGUUGGGACCAACUUGUCCUUUGAAAGAACCUCCAUGGUGCCAGGUCUAUCAUCAGUUUGCCUCCCAACUCCUUCUCUGUCCCUUGGUCUGCUCCCUGGGUGAAUUCUCCUAGAGCAACGUUGAUGCCUUCCCUACACCAUCCUUGGCACUAAACCACACUCGGCCUCCUUCAGCCUUGAUUAUGUGGGUGUUUUAUCUCUCUCAAUCAUGUUGUGGAUUCCUCGAGAGCAGGCUUGGGGGCUCAGCACAGCUUUGUAGCCUCCCACAUUCUCCAUCCCACAGACCCCUGCACAUGGUAAGCUUUAAUGCCUUCUUAUUGAUUACUCAGAAGUGGAGGCUCAUUAAGGUGUGUGUGAAAUUUGGAUUCCCUUCUGUUAGGCAAUGGAACGUGGGUUCUCUUUCGUUAGGACAGUGUUUCCCAAAGUGUGUUCUAUGGGCUGUAGGCUAUUAAUAGGUGUUGUAGGACAAAGAGACCCGUGAUUAACUAAAGCACAUUUCUUAGAGCCCUAAUAUGUUAAUGAACGUUGUGAUAUUCCAAGAAGAAAGGUGUGGGAACUCAAGAUCAACAUGGCUUAGGGCAAGCAGAUACAGAACCCUAAGAUAGUGCUCAGGAUGGUGGAGAACAUCUACUUAUCUCAGAUAAAGGUUAGAAGGCAUUGCUUCUCAGCCUUUUGGCUAAGACCAAGUGUAAGAUGGAAGGCAACUGGUUAGACAAAGACUAGGGUAAGAUCAACUAAUAAAUCCAACCUCACACAGAUACACUCUGAAUCACAGGGCUCACACAGCUAAUGCUAAAUGGGGGUCCCAUAGGGUGAGGGGAACAGGAGUCUCUUCUCUCUCAGGUGUCUAUCUCCUCUUAACCCAAGGAGGUAGUGGGCCAUCAUCAAUAUCUUAACCAAUAAACCUUCACUCAAACCACGUACACCUGGGUGCAACAGCCAGAUUCCAGAUACUGAAUUUCUAACUAAGCUGCAGACCUAGGGAUUUUCUAAGUCAGGACUUAUUUGCCAAAUAGGGGCUUUCUGAGAUAGGACUGGCCAUAGCCAGUGGCCAUAGCCAACAAAUUUGGCUAAGGAACUUUUUUUUUUUUAAUACCUCAUAGGAUUGAUAUUUCUAGAACAGUACCUUGGUACAUGUGUCUUGGAGGCACUCACCUGUCUUCACCAUCAGAGAGGUCACCAUUAAUGUUUUGUGAUCCUUCUGGGCAACUGUCCCAUCACGCAAAUCUCCCAGGCUCACAAUGGAUGGUAAGACUAGCAUUGCCAUUGUCCCCAUUGAACAGAUGAGGGAAGGCAGAGAGGUCACUGGAAUGGCAAGUCAGGAGAUAUGCAUUUGAGAUUCUGCUCCAUCAUCUACUAGAUGUGGGAUAUCUGUCUCUGAAAUGAGAAUAUCUAUCUCCCAACGGUACUGAUGGGAUGAAAUGAAGAUGUGUAUUAGAGGACUGCAUAAGACCCAUCACUCCAUGACAUAUUUAUUGGACCCAUGCUAUGUAGCUGUCUAUAAAGAAUAGCUACUGUUUGCUGAGUCUGUAGGGUAUAUAGGGUAUCAUACACAAUUCUUGGCUCUUUCUGUAUGAAAUUUAAUGUAAUCCUUACAAUAACCUCAUGGAGUUGGUUAUUAUAAUCCCCAUUUUAUAGAUGAGGAGACUGUGAUUUGAGGAGAUUUGCCCAAGUUUGUAUCCUUAUACUGAUAACCAGAAAACUUGAACUCAGAGCCAAAUUCAAAGCCCACAUUCCAUGCUCUUUAAUAUUAGGAGUUAAGACGCUAGUGCUAAAAAAAAAAAAAAUUAAAUAAAGCUUACUUCACAUGCAAAAACAAAUGAAAAAGAUACUAGGUAUAGGCUACACUGUAUGUGGUUCUAUAUAAUGAAGAUUAACCAUAUUAAUAUUCAUCUUUAAAAUUAAAAGCAGUAAAAGUUAAAGCUGGUGUUAAAAGAACUAUGUCCAAAGCUUAGUUCCAGGAGUUACUGGUGUAGCAAAUAUCUUUGCUGUCUGUCUCUCAUUUUCUUCCUUUGGAACCCAGGGGGAAAUUGCCACCUAUUUCCCAAGGCUGUUACAAGAAGUAAAUUGACCUAGAAUAUGCUAAGCAGCUACAGCAGUGCCUGGCUGUUGGCAGACACUCAAUGAGUAUAGCUGAAUGAGAUUCUUUGUAGCUUAUAAUCUAACAAUGACACAUAUUAACAUGUUGCAGAUAUACUGAUUUUUAACAACUGAGCAUAAUACAGGUGAAAAUAUUAGUGCUUGUUUUUUUAUCAUUGUGUUUUAACAAUCAGGUGAUAAGACCUGAGGGCAAGGCAGGAUCCCCGCACAAUAACCUAGAUAAGAGCACAGACUCUGAGCCACACAGCCUUGGUCAAAUCCACUUACCAGCUUUAGGCCCUGAGGAAAGUCACUUAGCCUCUCUAUGCCUGUUCCUUCAUCUGUAGAAUGAUGGGGUGGUUGUGAGGAUUAUGAGAGUUAAUGUAUGCAAAGCAUUUAGAACAGUGACUGGUAUACAGUAAGUGCUAUGGAAGCAUCCCCUUCCCCUACCUGCUGUCUUUCUGAUCCCUUCAGAUACUUAUAAAUGCCAAGAAGAGGUUUGGAUAACAUUCCAUGCUUUGGGUUUUGUUUUGGUUUGUUUUUUGUUUGUUUUGUUUUGUUUUUGCUUGUUUUGUUUUUUGUUUUUUGAGACAGAGUUUCACUCUUGUUGCCCAGGCUGGAGUGCAAUGGCGCAAUCUCUGCUCACCGCAACCUCCACCUCCUGGAUUCAAGUGAUUCUCCUGCCUCAGCCUCCUGAGUAGCUGGGAUUACAGGCGUGCACCACCACACCCGGCUAAUUUUGUAUUUUUAGUAGAGGCAGGGUUUCACCAUGUUGGUCAGGCUGGUCUUGAACUCCUGACCUCAGGUGAUCCCCCUGCCUCAGCCUCCCAAAGUGCUGGGUAUACAGGCGUGAGCCACUGUGCCCAGCACUUUGGUAUUUUUGUGUUGCACGUUUUAUCUCCCCUAUGAUAUCUAAGCAACUCGAGGGCAUGAUUCUAUCUGAUUUUGCCUACACAGGGCUCACCUAAAAUAAAUGCUCAAAAACUGUGGAAUCCAUGAAGAAACCAAUGAACAUCCUGGGGGGUCCAGCUCUGAGGGGCACCCAGGGCUGUGUGUUCCCCCACCCCAUGGCUAAGCUCCUUCACUGCUCUGAGCUCCCACAUUUCCUGGCUGCAGAAGUCCCAAGAAGAGUAUGUGUGCUCUGAAGAGGCCAACAGAGGCUGUAGCAGUCCAGCUGCUGCUCCCCACAACCCUUUGGCCAGUCCAUUUACACUUAAGACCACAGAUUUCGCCUGAGAGGCUGACAGACUAAGGGCUCAAAAGCACCUGGGCAUUAUGAUGUAAGGAAAAGCCCCCUCCUUCCUGGCCCCCAUCUGAAAGUCCACCAUCUUUUUCUAGGCACCCUCUGGGGCACACUAAACCAUUAGCUAAGAGACUUUCUGCAGCUCAGGGUAGGAAAAGGUGAUCUGAGCCCUAAGGAACUAGGAUGGGGAGGAGGGAAAGAGGCCAGCUUCUGGGGCCUUGGGAAGAGGAAUUUUUGUCUCUCUUCUCCAGGACCCUGGCAGUUAGGGUCUGGCUCACAGAAUAUCAGAGGGAAAGGAGCCUCAGAAAUUCUCAGUCCCCAAGCCUCCUAGGGAAGUGACCGGCAAUGGCAGACAAUGCUGUUCUCACAUCUGUUCCAGGCUCAUUCCUCACUCCUGUCUUCCCACACUCUCCCUAAACACUUGUGUUGAUGUUCAACAUAUGAGCCAUCCUUCCGGGAGGCCACGUGGCACGGCUGCCCAAGCUUGAGCUUUGGGAACAAUCAGACCUGAUUUCAAAUGUGGACUCUGCCAAUUACUGUCUAUGUGAUGCUGGCCAAGUUCCUCAACCUCCCUGAGCUUUAACUUCCAGUAUUACUAAUGUUACUAUUUCAAUUUGGCUAAUUUCAAAUAUUGCCAAAAUUGAUGUGAGCUAAUUAUGUUAAGUCUCCACAAUGCCUAGCACAUAGUAAGUGUUCAGCAAAUUAUGAUUGGGGCAUACAGUGUCAAGUCUAGACAUACUGUACACUCCCCCUUUUCCUCUGUUUUUAUCUAACUGAAAGCCAGUCAGUCUCAACAUGGCAUCAGGCAGCCCAGGAUGAGGGUGAGAAAGCUGGAGGGCAGGCCAUCCUCUUGUUUGGGCAACCUGAUAGAGGAAGGCCAAAGAGUUACAGGCUGAGUUUUCAACUGCACCUCAUGUCUGGAUGCAUGUGCAAAGGCAUUUGCCAAGCAGGCUGAGCCAUUCUUAUGCCAUGAACCCAUCCCCUCUGAAUUAGCUGUCUCCCCUGGUCCCAUUCCCUACUUGCUUUUCUCCAGCAAAGACUCUGGGGGUCUGAGUAGAAGGGUUGGAUGCUUGAUUGGGGAAAGAUACACAAGAAACAUCAUAAGACUUAUAAUAGUAAUGAUCAAUAACAACAAACUUUUGAGGGCCAACUCUAUGCCUGGCACAUUGUGUGCCCAUGACUUCACUUCAUUAUCAACAACCCUAAAAAAGAGGUGCUUUUAUUAUCCCCAUCUUAUAGAUGAAGAAACUGAGGCUCAGAGAGAUCCAAAAACUUGUGCAAGAUUGCAUGGUUCAUAAGGAGGGAAAUAGGAUUUGAAAUUAGUCUAAUUCCAGGGCUUACCUACCAUAAGCCCAAUACCUUAGUAGGUGCCUUACAUCAUUUCUAAUCCUCACAACAAUGUUAUGAGUUGGGUAGUCCCUUUUUACCAUUAAGAAAACAAAGUUGGAGAGGAUACAUAACCUGCCCCUGGUCAUGCAGUUAAGUGACUUGUGGAAAGUCAUGCAGCUGGUAGCUGUGGAGCCAGGGUCUGAAUCCAAAGUUUGUGUGUUUCUUCCAUUCCACUCUACUCCAGUGCCUCCAGUCCAGCAGAGCUUGGAAGGGGGGCUCAGAAGGGAAGGAAAAACAAUCCUUAUAAGAACCUUGUACAUGGUCGGCACUUUCCCAUAAGGUGUCUCAUUUAAUCCUCACAACUACUCCAUCAACAGGGUAUACUUAGCCCCAAGAAGAAAACCCAGGCUCAGAGAGUAAAGUGACUUGCCCAAGAUCACACAGUUAGUAAGCAGGAAACUCAGGAUUCAUACUGACUACUGGUUUCCAAGGACUUGUUAUUUCUACUGGGGUGCACCUUCUACAACACCCCAUCUGCUGGUUUUGCAGUUUUGCUUUGCUCCCAGUCCAAGAUCCAUUUUCUGCCUGCUCCAUGCUCCAGGAGACAAAUCUCUGUGCAUAGUAUCACAGGGCUCUCCUGUCUUCUGUCUUCCAGUUUGGGUUAGAUUAACAGGAAGCUUUGGCAGGAGAUCAAAGGCAGGAGACAGGUCAGGAUGUUUCUUCUGCUCCCUCCUUCCCUGCCUUGCUUUAAUUCUACGACUACAACUCCUUCUGGGCAGCCCCCUUGCAUGGCUCCAACACUUUCUGGGUCCUGAGGACUCCAUUCUUCCAUGCAUCUCCUCAGGUUGAGAGUAGGAAGAGCUUCCUGUUGUUGCUGGUCCCUACCUGUCUCAGCAUUCCUUGUUGAUUCCCUUAACCUUGCCGUACUUCUGCAAAUGGUUCCCUCAUGCAAUUACCUUCAUAAUCCCAGUUGAGGAUCCUUCUGUUUCCUGCUGGGACCUGACCAAGCCUCCUAAUGUUCAUCUGAGGCCGCUCCUUUUGGAGCUACUUGGAAGGAAGGCCAAUGGCUUCUUUGCUGAUCAAACAGGUUCAGGUCUUUCCCAAACUAAUUAGCAGAUAGACAGGACAGUGGCCAGGGACUGGAGGCUGGCUCUUGAUGCUGUCCCUGCCUCCGUCCAUCUGGAAUUACAGUUUGGAGCAGCUCAGCCUCUCCAAGUCCAAUGCCCUAUCUUUUUUUUUUGUUUUUUUCCAAUUGAUGCAACUCAGUAAUUUUUAUUGCAACUGGAAGACAAUGCAUCACAGAAACUUUAUGGUGGGUCUGUGGAAGAGUGUUAUUUACAAGAAAUGAUGAAAUAGUUUGUCUUUGGCAAUAUGAUUACAUACAAAGAAUGCAAAAUGCAGGUAUGGAUGCCUUCCAAGCAACACCAUCAAGUCCCUAGAGUUCGGCUGAUGGCACCUGCCUCCACGUUUUUUCUUUAGGUUCACACGAUCAUAACUGAACAUCACGUUCUUUCUCCUUUAUGGUUCUCCCUUUCUAUUCAUGAUAUUGGCAGUUUCACAAAGAAAAUACAGAAAAAAAAUUGGCUUUUGAAAAAUUAUUACUCUCAUAAAUUAAUUUGGCCGUGUAGGUCUAUUGGCCAGCCAAGGUCAGACGACCCUAAGCAUCAACAGUAAACCUCUUGGUCUUCUGAUUGCUUUAUCACUUUUUUUUUCUGUAAAACAAAACAAAACUGGGAAAUGUUACAGAAUCAGAGUAUUAAAAAAUAUACAAGUGUAUAUGCUUCCCAGACACACAUGGAUACAUUUUUCCUCCACAUUUUCACCAUGGCAGUAUAAAGUAGUGAGUGUGAAUGACACAGCAUGAAACUGGUUACUGAAUCAGCUAUGAGCUCAGAUGGCCUCAACAUACAUACUUAAGAAAUGUUGCAUGUUUAAAUAACUGAGAGUGUGCUAAAUCUCAUCCAAAAAAAAGGAGGAGAGGGGCUGGGGAACUCAGGCCACAGUCAUGAAAGGAUGAAUACAAUUUCUAGGUUUAACAGGUUCACCAUAUUGAAGUCUUUGAUAAUCCAAUAUGGAAUAUCAAUUAUUUUGCAAAAGGUAGAGAAAGCAGUUCUCAACUUUUGCAAAUGAAAUACAAUGGAAAAACACUGUUGUAUAUAUUCCAAAUAAAUAGUCUUGAUUUCAUCACUAACAAAACAACAGGAAGGGUACUCGUGAGCAUCUCACAGUUAAGUCAGAAAUGAUCAUUCACACAGGUCUGAUUUCAGAAGUACAACAGCAAGAUGCAGCACCAUAGACACAUCGGUUUCGGCUGUUAAAAGAUGGAUCAUUUUAAAAACUGCGUUUUCCUUACUUAAUUUUUGGUCAGUGAAGCUAGCAGUUGUUUGCUGAACUGUGGAAGAACUGCAAGGUCACACACAUUAUUCAUGAUAAAGCAACUGAGCUGACAUGUCUGUGCUUAAUUCAGAAUAACCAUUAGUGGGAGGCUGAGGCAGGAGAAUGGCGUUAACCCGGGAGGCAGAGCUUUCAGUGAGCUGAGAUUGCGCCACUGCACUCCAGCCUGGGCGACAGAGAGAGAGAAAAAAAAAAAUAGAAUAACCAGUAGGAGAGAGAGAAAAUACAAGGAGUUAACGACCAUCGCCGGUGCUCUCUCAAAGGAAGAGGGGUUAACAGAUGAAUUUACAAAGGUAUGCAGAUCUAUACAGAACACUGAAUGCCAUGUGUAAAUCCUCAUGAAACUCCAGAAACGGGAACACCACACAAUGUAUAUACUUUGAUUUACACAUUCCGUUACAAAGGAAAAAAAGACACCAUUACAACUUUGUAACUGUGUUAACUGCAAUAUAAACCAAGUCCAGAGUUUGGCAGGUAACUAAAAGAGGGUUAUCACCUAGGUUAUAUGGCGAAAGUGUUGAUGUAUAUUACAUAUAGUAGCAUAAUUAAUAAAAAAGUAUUAUUUAAAUUAGAUCACAGUGCUGCAUUAUGUGCAUAACAGUGUUUGAUAUAGUAUUGGUGGGCUGGGACCUGCAACACUAAGGACUUAACUGUCAACACUGGGAAGUCAUAAUCAAGAGGAAACACAGAGUUCCAUGUUUUCUUUUGGUGGCAAAAAAAAUCCUGAAGAUUAAAGAAAAGUACUUCUCUACAGAAACAUAAAAAUCAGUUGCAACAUCUGGGCAGCUGUGAUCCACCAGAAAGAAACGAGUCCCAACCUGAAUUAAAGGGAAAGAGAAAUCACAUGGAAUUUAAUCCAAUCUCAUCUAGAAAAGCUUCCCAUUGGUCGGGCGCGGUGGCUCACGCCUUUAAUCCCAGCACUUUCGGAGGCCGAGGCGGGCGGAUCACGAGGUCAGGAAAUCGAGACCAUCCUGGCUAACAAGGUGAAACCCUGUCUCUACUAAAAAUACAAAAAAUUAGCUGGGCGUGGUGGCGGGCGCCUGUAGUCCCAGCUACUCAGGAGGCUGAGGCAGGAGAAUGGCGUGAACUCGGGGAGCGGAGCUUGCAGUGAGCCGAGAUCACACCACUGCACUCCAGCCUGGGAGACAGAGCGAGACUCUGUAUAAAAAAAAAAAAAAAGAAAAGAAAAAAAAAGAAAAGCUUCCCAUAAAUUGGAGUCACUUGUACGUAACUCCAAUUCCUUCUCCAGGAGCCCUUCUAGGAGAGGUGCAAGGCCCCCCACACAGUGGAAUGAGUGGAACCUGCGUCAGUAGCCCUUGGCCGGGGCAGUCCUGGCGUGGUGCAGGACUCGGAGCUGGGCACAGAAGGCGUCCACCUGGUUCUCACUCUACAGAGCCCACUACCUGAUGCUGUCCCUCAGGCAGGAGCCUCCUUCAACACAACGGCCCCUCCCAGAAGUCUCUGUGGUAGUAACUGCUGUGGCCAGCGAGCACCAGACACAUUGAAUGCCUCUGCAAAACAAAACAAAACUCCAUUCUUGGGAAAGGCCUCUGGCACAUUCCUUCUUAAAAACUCCCAAGAUUGAGACCUGCCACAAUCGUUUUGGCCAUGGUUUUCUCCAACCACCAGUGAUAUGGGUUUGGUUCAUUUUAGUUUCAGAUAGCUGGCUUCACCAAAGAACUCUUGAAAGAAUACUGAUUAGAGAGGAGCAGGGAAGUAGGAGCUUGUGGUAUAUUAUAAAGCUGGGAAAAAUCUAUGAUGCAAACCCUUUCCACAUAGCACUAGAUAAAGGUAAAAGACAAUUAUAAUAGAAUAAAAAUAACUGUCUAUGUGUAUAUCAUUUAAGAAAAAAAGAGUGACUGUCUCUUUCUCUUAAAUGUGUCCGAGGGCCAACAGCAAGUAAUCGUAGAUGUCGUGGUGUUGAUGUGUUCACGGUUGGUUUCCAAAGCAUCUUUAAAUAUUGCUACAGUUCCCCGUUUCCCCCUCCCCCCUGCCUCGUGUGAGUAUGUGAGAUACUGAAUGACACAUGAACUGCCACUUCUCCCAGCAGGAGAAAUGAAAGCAAAAACACCACACCUCUUAGUGGUGUUCAGGUGAUCUGUCAGACUAAUGGAUACAUAUGCUAGUUUGGAAGCUGAAAGAACACCUGACGUUUGGGAAGGAAUUCCAAGACUCAGGUGAAUGGCACUUAAGCAAAAUAUUCUUUCACAAAUAGGCUUGUGCUUAAAUUAUCUACUGCUCUUGGAGAAGAGAAUAAGAAUAAGAGAGGGUGCCUCCUGCCCCUUAGCUUGUUAAGGACGCGGACAACCUCAUUCUGCAAUGAAUUCACUACAAACAGCCACAUACACAUCGAUACUUUUUGUUUUUGUUUUCAACAAUCAAAAUACAAAGUUAAACACAAUUGAGCCAUUGUUUUGGUUAUGCAUAAUGUGCAUGCCUCCAAAAACAGAAGAAAAAUAGGAAGAAGUACCCUCACUAAAGGUUCCCUGACAAGUCUUCCGGCAGAUCCAAUGAAGGGAGACUCAGGAAAAUCACAAUUAGAAAGCCACCCAAUGAGGUAUUUAUGCAAAAAGAGUGGUUCUGGAGUUAAGAACACACUUUUAUAUUUCUCUGUUUCUCAAAGAGAUCAGAAAAGUAAAUCACAUAAAUUGCAUUUUAUUAUUUUUUAAAAGAGCCUCUGCCUCUUUAGAAAAAUGAAAUGAGGGGAGACAGCCCACAGUGGGGAUUUAAAUUGGAAGAAGUCCUCGGCCAGAAACAGUCCCGAAUGUUUAACCUCUGCCUUUCAGGAGAGAGGUCUGAAUUUUAUCAUGUGGGGGGUGGGAUGAAGGUGGGGGACUGAGCUGGAGGUCUUUAGGCUUGGUCAGGUGACAACACAAAUCAAGGUGUCGCUCAGGCUCCACAGCUGUGGAUGGCUUUCAGGGUGUCAGAUGUCUGGGAAGAUGGAGGGAACAUAGCACUGCAAAGAUACUUUAUUCCCAUCUACACCCUGAACAAAUAUGCUGGAAGUAUUCAGUUUCAGGUCAUGAAUUCGACCUGCUGUAGAGGAGUAGGUUUUUUCAGGUUCUGUCAUCAGCAACCCACCAAUGCCCCAUCUUUAAUAGGUGAGGUUCCAAUAAAGGUUCUGUCUGCUCCCUUCCAGCCCUGACAGCCCAGGCCUAUAAGCUGACACCCAGAGAAGGUAAAGAACUUGCUGUCCCUGCACAGUGAGGCAAUGGUGUGAGUACUUGAACUUCUGCAUCUUAAAUCAGUUACUGCUUCUCUGCUUUACCCUGGAGUGUUUCCUUUACAGCUCAAUAAAUAUUUCAUCAGUGGUGACUCAGUAUAAUCACCAUCCCCCAUGCCAUCCCAGGCAGCUUACAACCUAGAGACUGUCACUGCUCUUUGACAUAUUCUGUCACUUUGCCUCCCCAGGUCACCAUCCUCUCACUCGCCUCUGACUUUUCGCACAGGAGAGAGCUGGUCGAAUAGUACAAUUCCCCGAUGUGAAUGGGGAGAAGCUGGGGAAAGGAAGAAUGAUCUUCAGGCAGUAAGGGUAAGAGGAGCCACUUUUCCCAUCUGAGUAAAUACCGAGAGAAGAUGAAUGUGAGGCUCUUGGAGAUUAGCUGUCUGCUGGGAGAGAAACACCUUCAUUGAUUAAAUACAAAAUCUGUUCUGGAAAACAUGGUCGUUGGAAUAGUUCUUAGCAGAUCCUUGCACCGGGCUUGUAAAAGCUAAACAGCCUUCUGCUCCCAACCUAUCCCUCCCACUUGGGGGAUUUGGAGAAAGGGCUAGGGAGAGAGAGAGGAAGAAGUGGUGCCCAGGAUGCCACAGGGAGAGGAGAAUGAGCUAAAGGUAGAGAGUGUGAGGAUAUGGUCAGAGGGUUAUGCCCCUGACAGUCUUGGGCUGGCAAAUGCAAGGACCUUUGGGGGACAGUGCAGGGGCUGACGAGGCAGGCUUGAGGAUGCUCUGGUCACGUGGAUACUAGGGCCAGAGUCCUCUUGGCUCAGGCACUGUGUAAGGAAAGAAAUGUAACUUCCUUAUUGCCUGUCCACUCUCCCUCAAAACAAACACUCUUUUCUGUUUAAAUAGUAGGAGACCACCCUCUCCGCAGGAGAUAGCUAAAAAAGAAAAAAUAAAUAUAUAAUAGGAGACAAUAUCUUGAGAAGGUGGAAAUGAGACCCUCCCCCGCCCCAGGGGAAAGUGAUAGGAAAGCUCAGCUAGAAAGCUCCCGAGAGAAAGUGAUAGAAAACAGCCUGGACCAGGGCCAGAGAGGAGCAGGAGGAGAGAAGAUCCAUCAGUGUUCGUGUCCUAGUGGGAAAGGAGGAAUGUACUGACAGCUGGGAUGUGAUGGCAGACUGGUCUAAGGGUAGGGCCUGCGGGGAGAAGCUGCUAGCAGAGGGCAUAUGGGGUGAAGGGAAUAGGGGGAGCAGAGCUUCAGGUAAAGGAGGAAGAGGUACUGUUUCUCCAUUUCCCUCUGGGCUUUUGCUAUUUAAUUGAGUAAUUCCUGGCCCCAGGGCAACUCUGAGAAUUUCUCUGGCUUGCAGUAGAGUUGUCACUUUAUUACCUUCAGAUUCUGUUUGGAGUUUUUCCUUCUGAAUUUCCUCAAAUGGCCCAGCUUUGCCUUGCCAUUUUGGUGGGUUUUAUUUUCUCUGCCAUCUAAUGUCCCAGGGGUCUCCAGACAAGCACACCUUUCUGAAAGCCUCUGGGGGGUGCCUUUCUCUGAAAGCCUGGGCCAGGCCUGGGAAGACUCACCCACAGGCUGAGAUUUGAGACCUUGUCCCCCACCCCUAUGACCUUCCUAAAACACAAAACUCCCAGGCAGUGUCUGAAAUGCCUCGACAUGAAGGGAGCUAAUAGUAAUUUCUCAGAAGAACAUAGGCUCUUCUUUAGUCCUUGGAUUUAAAGCGCAGAUUCCAAGGAGGAUAAAUUGUCUUGCCAGGCUGGGUAAAUCUGUUGUCAGGCAGCUUUUCUCCACUAAAAAAGAGAUUAAUCUGAUUACACCUAUAGUCACCUGGAACUGUUCCAUCUCUGAAAUCUUUUUUUUUUUUUUUUUACAACUUCUUGUCCAACAGACACCUCUAAAAUCUUAAUUUUAAAUAUACCACCCUCAGGAUAUAAAUCUGUUCAUUCAGCUUUUCCCCAAACCUGUCAUUCUUCCUCAAGACCUUCAGCCCUAGACCUCUCUGAGUCUACCAGUUCCUCCUGAUGUCCCUUCCUUUCCUGCCUGGGUCCCUACUCAAUGGUUGACCAUUUGACCUAACCUUCACCAGCCCCUUGUAUUCUGACUCUGUGUUAGUUUUCUGGGGCUGCCAUAACAAAGUACCACAAGUUCAAGGGCUUAAAACAAUGGGAAAUGUAUUCUCUCAUAGUUCCAGAAGCCAAAAGUCCAAAAUGAAGGUGUUGGUGGGGCCAUGCUCUCUGUGACGGCACUGGGGGAGAACUCUUCCUUACCUGUUCCCGCUGCUGGUGGCUCCUGGCCUUCCUUGGCUUGUGGCAGCACAGCUCCAAUCUCUGCUUCCUUCUUCACAUGGCCUUCCUCCCUGUGUGUCUGUGUCCUUUCCUGUCUCUUAUAAUGACACCUAUCAUUGGAUUUAGGACCCACCCUAAUUCAGUAUGAUCUCAUUUCACAUCUGCAAAGACCCUGUUUCCAAAUGAGGUCACAUUUCAAGGUUCUGGGUAGACAUGAAUUUUGGGGAGACACUAUUCAACCCGCUGUAGCCCCAUUUUUCCUUCUAUUGCGUUCCAAAUUCCCCAAGCUUAGCUCAGGCCCACAGUUGGGCAUCUAUCUUCCUUUUGGCCUUGGGGCAGCUGAGCUCUGUUCUUGGCUCCUCCUGCUCUUUGCUGGUUUCAGUGCUUCUCAGCAAGAGUGCCUCCUACAGCCUCUUCUUUCUUUUCCCUCGGGAAGUAGCACCCCAGAGAUGGCUGAGGUCUGGGGCAGGAACUCCUCCAAAUUCAAACCUUAAGGCCAGGCACAGUGGCUCAUACCUAUAAUCCCAGCAAUUUGGGAGGCCAAGGCAGGAGGAUCCCUUGAGCCCAGGAGUUUGAGACCAGCCUGAGUGACAUGGUGAAACCCCAUCUCUACAAAGAAUACAAAAAUUAGCUGGGCAUGGUGGCUAAUUUUUGUAUUCUUGGCGCACCUGUGGUCCCAGCUAGUCAGGAGGCUGAGGUGUGAGGAUUGCUUGAGCCAGGAGGCAGAGGUUGCAGUGAGCCAAGAUCGUGUCACUGCACCCCAGCCUGGGCAACAGAGUGAGACCCUGUCUCAAAAAAAAAAAAAAAAAUCCCAUCUUAAGACCCCUACAGAUGUACCAUUAGUUUCACCUUUUCCCCCCUUUCCCAUCCCAUUGAAGGCCAUGUGUUUCUGCUCUUCUUGGAGGCUAUUCAGGCCCUCACAGCACUUGCCUGGUAUACAGCAAAUUAUCCUGACUGUGUUUAUCUGCUUCCAUAUGCACCCUACUCUUAUGACUCUCAUACCACUCUUCUGCUUAAAACCAUUCAUUCAUUCACUCUUUCAUUCAUUCAUGUGUUUGUUGCAUAUAUAUUGAGUGUCUGCUAUGUUAGUACUCUGGCCUCAUCUCCCACAACCAAUGAGAUCAUUGACUUUUCAGAACUUACAGCAUAGAAAGUUUUCCAUGGCGGUCCUAUAGGAUUUCCAUUCUAAAGUUUACAUUCUUUAGGGUGGUGGAUAACCCCCUUAACCUGGCCCUAACCUACCUCUGACUUCUGUCUCCCAUUGCUCCCAUCUCUAGCCCAGCCAAACUAUUACUCAAGCCAGGCUCUUACACUUCUGUGCUGUGGUGCUUUCAGUCUAGUUGAAAUGUCUCUGCCUUUUGCCUGCCUGGAAAAUCCCUAGUUGUCUUCAAUAUUUAGUUCCAAUGUUACCACCUCCUAGGAGCCUUCCUUGACAAUCCUGUCCUGGACUCUGUCUUUUUUGCCACAUAAAUCUCUUAUUGUGUGAAUCAUGCUGCCUUGCAAUGAUUUGUUUACAUGUCUGUCUCUCUUUUCCCUUGAAGUUAAGGACAAUAAUUUAUUCAUUUUAUAUUCUCUAUAUCUGGCAUAAUGUAGAUGUUUAAUAAAGUUUAAGUGCUUAAUAAAAGAAGUGGUGGAAGACCUCAAUUCAUCUGAGAGCAGAAUCUGCCUAGAAGAGUUGGAACUUCUCCACCCUGCUCCAUCCUCUGUACCUGACCUGUGUGUUCUGGGCUCCCCACGGCCAAGGAGCAUCAAUGGGCUAACAGAGUGUAAUGGGCUGAAUUGUGUUGGCCCCAAACUCAAAUUUUGAAGUCCCACCCCUCCCUCAUUCUAUGGCCUUGUUUGGAAAUGGGGUUGUUGCGAUGUAAUUAGUUGAGAUAAGGUCUUAUUAUAUUUGGGUAGGCCCCUACUCCAGUAUGAUUGGUGUCCUUAUAAAAAGGAGAAAUUGGACACAGACACCCUACCAAGAAGAACACUAUGUGAAGAUGAAGGCAGAGAUCAGGGUGAUGCCUCUACUUGCUGAGAAACUCCUACAGUUGCCAGCCCACCACUAGAAGCAAAGGAAGAAGCACAGCCCUCAGAAGGAACCAACCCUGCUAAUGCCUUGGUCUUGGACUUGCAGCCUCCAGAACAGCGAGCCAAUACAUUCCUGUGGUUUAAGCCACUGACUGUGGCACUUUAUUACAGCAGCACUAGGAAACUCAUACAGGAGGUGACAGUGCUCAGAUGAAACAGGACCUUCCACUUCCAUGGCAAAGCCCUCAUCUUUCGUGCCCAUGCGCCAUUUGAUCUGCACACAAAUCACUGAGCAGGUUCCUCAGCUAUUAUUAUCCCCACCCUGCCUCCAGCUGAGGAGCCAGGGAGAAGCACUGACCCCUGAUCUUGCUAUCCCUUCCAUUACACUCUUGCCAGAGGAGCUUUUUUCAGGGGUGGCCGCUUCCCUCUCCUCAAGAGAAUUCUGGGGACCAACCAGCUCAGGCCUGCUGUUGGCCUCAGGGUCACAUCUCACCCAGACACCCCCACCAUUCCCUCAGGUCUAGGGAUGCUGCUCCCCUACCAUGGGAUCUUCUUUUUAUUUUUAUUUAUUUAUAUUUUCCUUAUGCCUAGUGUAAAGGGAUUUCUUUUCUUUUUUGUUUUUGUUUUUUUUUUGAGAUGGAGUCUUGCUCUGUCACCCAGGCUGGAGUGCAGUGCAGUGGCGCUAUCUCGGCUCACUGCAACCUCCACCUCCUGGGUUCAAGUGAUUCUCCUGCCUCAGCCUCCCAGGAGCUGGGAUUACAGGUGUGCCACCACAUUUGGCUAAUUUUUUUACUUUUAGUAGAGAUGGGGUUUCACCAUGUUGGCCAGGCUAGUCUCGAUCUCCUGACCUCAGGUGAUCCACCCGCCUCAGCCUCCCAGAAUGCUGGGAUUACAGGCAUGAGCCACCGCUCCCAGCCAGGAUCUUCUUUUUAAAGCUAUCACCACCCACUCUCAUUCCCCAGGACUCUCCUCACCCCUCCGGCUGCAAAGGCAGCUGGUGUCCCUACUGGCUCCUUCCUUUCUGCCCCUAAAGACAGGCACACAGGUGAUUUUCCUUUUAAGUGUUUUUCUGUGGAUUACUGCGGGGAAAUUGACAGGGGCUACAGGGGCUGAUAAAAGGAAUAAUCUUUGAUAUUCUUUCAGUUGGGUCGCUGAUUUUCUUGCUGGGCUGACAAGAGCAAUCUUCCCUACUUGGAAUCUUGGUUUUAUUCCUUAGCAUGGGCCUUAUCAAACCUACUUUUUAAUGAAGGGAGAAUGAAGAAGCCAUUGAAGCAGACCUCUAGCUGCCAGUCAGGUCUGCUCUGAAGGCUGCCUAUCUGCGGGGACAUGUGACUUCUGGGGCUUUCCAGAUUAAGUAAUGCUCACCCCACAUGUCUGAAAUUCUCCAAACACUAUUCCGGCCCUGCUGUGAUUCUUAGAGCAGAGGUUCUUUGCCUUUUUAGUGUAAUGGAUCCCUCAGCAACUUGGUGAGCCCUUCUCAGAAUAAAGUUUCUAAUGCAGAAAGUAAAACACAUGGGAUAAUAAGGGAAGUCAUGUCCUUUGAAAUCCUUAUCAAAAAUAUUUUUCAAAUUUUGUGAUAUAAUAAGUUUGGUUGCUAUUAUAUAGCAUAAUAUAACUUCAUAUCUAAUAGCUAUUGUUAUUUUGAAGUAGUGGUGAAUAUAUAUGCUAUUUUGAGAUGUCUAAAACAACUGUAAUGUGUUACAAAAAUAUCCAUGAUUUCUAUCGGUGACAAAGUCAAAAGUAUCGUGAAUACGUCUGUGAUUUGCAAGCUACAUCCAAAAUGGAAGGAAAUCCUAAUGUUUGGUUAGUGAUUGAUAAAAAUAAAGAUGUGGGCGGGCGCGGUGGCUCACGCCUGUAAUCCCAGCACUUUGGGAAGCCAAGGCGGGCAGAUCAUGAAGUCAGGAGAUCAAGAUCAUCCUGGCCAGCAUGGUGAAACGCCGUCUCUACUAAAAAUAAAAAAAUUAGCUGGGCAUGGUGGCGUGUGUCUGUAGUCCCAGCUACUUGGGAGGCUGAGACAGGAGAAUCACUUGAACCCAGGAGGCGGAGGUUGCUGUGAGCCGAGAUCACACCGCUGCACUCCUUGGUUUCCUUGGGAUAAAAUGGGGAUAUUAAUGAUGAUUUCACAGGGAUACAAAGAUCAAGGGAAAUAGUCAAGUGUUAUAUCUUGUUCAUGUAUCAAAAUGGGCUGUGACCUCCUUACAGUGACUAUCAUCAGUCAGAAGCCUCAAGGGAUGCUUUCCCAGACAGAAAUAGUCUUGUGAAUAUGCUUAAUUUGUUUAUUCACAAAACAUUUAUCAAGCACCUACUGUGUGACAAGCAUGGUACUUGCAGUGAGAGAAUAAAUUUGCAGAGCGAGACUCCGUCUCAAAAAUAAAAAUAAAAAUAAAAAAAUAAAGACGUAAUACUAUUUUUCCCCCAUUGAGCUCAUGGGCCCAGAUUAAGAGCUCCUGCCCUGGAUCUGUGCAUCUCAAACUUCCAUGUGCUUCUGAAUCAUCUGGCCUCUGUUAACAUGCAGAUUCUGAUUCAGGAGGUCUGGAGUAGGCUCAAGGCUCUGCAUUCUUGACAAACUCUAGGGAUGAGUUUGUCAAGCUGGCUCCUGAGAUGGGCACAGUCUGGAACGUAUGGUACUGGGUAAUAGUCACCACCUGGAACCAUGAUGGGAAUCUGAGAGCAAGGGCAUCAGCUGCUGGGGCCCGAGGGUGGGUUGGGGCCUUAAAGUGAUUCCGUGAACUUCACAAGCUUCGUGGCAGUCUUGUGGUGACAAGGCCAUUCCAGCAUAUCUCCUGAUGAGGAUGCAGAGGACACUCUAACCUGGAAUACAUUCUCUCCACAAAGCUGAAGGGAGCCUGCAAUCUUUUUAAUGCUCCAAUUAGAGCCUGAACACAAGACCUUUCCUUUUGUCUGGUGAAAUCAGGCUGGGCCAGUUACAUGAGACUUGACUAAAGGCUUAGGAAUAACAGAGAAAAAAUAAAUGCAGGCAAUAGAAUAUGACCAUAGAACAUGACUUCAAGACACCCUGCCCACUCAGCAAUAGGCUUUAAAGACAAUCUUUUGUCCCUUAGACAGAAGGGCUGGACCUUUAGACGUGAAGCCCAAUGAGAGAGGCAGCAGUCAUUGUCAGAACAUCCCUGAGGGGAGUAUGAAUCCCUGGGUUGGACGCAGUGAGGCCCAGGUCCCCUUAUAUGCUGGUUUUGGAGGUCUGGGAUCUUAUUAAGAGAGAUGGCAGGUCUCCCUGGCCCACUGCCCCUUUCCCACUUCCUGAUUGCUGCUUACCUCAAAGUGGUGGAUGCUGCCUUUGCACUUAACUUUCCAGGAGGCCACACCUACGUGGGGCAUUCCCUCUGCUUCCUGAAUUCUAGUCUGAGAAUCCUCUUUGUCUCCAUUAUGGGCUCUUUCAUCACUAUUCACCCUAUUGAAGGAGAUACUCCUUUUACUCACCCAAACAUUGUAGCCUUAAACUCACAGUCAUGUUUGAAUACAACACAUUACAUUUAAUAACCAUGCAAGAAAAUCACACACACAGUGCAAGAGGGUCUAAUCUGUACCAAUCUUGAUUUUGCACUUGUAAUCUAUCCCUCUCUGGAGUUUAGUUGAGAGCAUGAUCUUUGCAGCCACUCAGAUCGGGGUUCUAAUUAUACCAUAUACAAGCUGUCUGACCUUAAAGAAUUUGAUUAGCUCAGUGUGCUAAUCUGCAAAAUGGGAGUAGUAAAAGUGUCUACCUCAUUUGACUAUUGUGUGACUUCAAUAAAAUGAUACCUGCAAUCAGUUUCCUCUCUGGCACACAAUAAGUUCCCAAUAUUAGUUGUCAAUGUACUACCCUCACCUCUCACGGUAAAGUAAUUAUUUCAGCAUUUAAGAAAAUUUAUUCUCUCACUGCAAGUACCAUGCUUGUCACACAGUAGGUGCUUGAUAAAUGUUUUGUGAAUAAACAAAUUAAGCAUAUUCACAAGACUAUUUCUGUCUGGGAAAGCAUCCCUUGAGGCUUCUGACUGAUGACAGUCACUGUAAGGAGGUCACAGCCCAUUUUGAUACAUGAUCAAGAUAUAACACUUGACUAUUUCCCUUGAUCUUUGUAUCCCUGUGAAAUCAUCAUUAAUAUCCCCAUUUUAUCCCAAGGAAACCAAGGCUCAUGGAGGCUUAGUGUUGUGCCCAAAGUAACACAGUUAGCAAGUGGUUCCAUUUAGUGAUGCCUCAGCAGAAGCCCAAUGUGCCCUGAAAUAGCAUAUGAAGUCUGUCUGAGAUCCGGGGGCAUGACUUAUGAUUCAUAAAAUAACUGUGUAGCUAGGGAGCUACAGAAAGAGAUUAACAGAACCUGGGACUUCAGUCAUUUUCAAGAAAGUACAACAGCUAAGCAUUAACAAUUCAUAGAAAAGACCCACUCUAAAUGAUGCUUUGUAAAUGCAUAAUGAAGAGACUGGGAAGUACCCAAGUCCAAAAAAAGUCGUCAGGACUAAACGUAGCUAAAGAGAGCUGGGGCCCAGUCAGUAGUCCCCAGUCUGACUGAAGGAAGCCUAGGGCAACUGAAGAUCUGGGUCUGCUAGGCGUCCAGAAAAGGGGCAGUCAAAUAAUACAACCAGUCAGUGUGUCUCCACUUCCACUGAGAGAGACAAGUGGCUCUGGACCAGACAUCGUUAAUCACAAUUUCCUAUCCCCUGACCUAAUGUCUCUUUGUUCUGAACUCAGUAAGCAAUCUUCUGAUUAUUAGUUUUCUGGGUAAGCUUGGUACCAAAAAGGGAAUACUUGGUAGGAAUACUCACCAUUUUACAUUUACCGUGGGCUCCUUAGUGCUAUGGUUUGAGUUUGACCCCACCAAAAUGCAUGUUGAAACUGAUCCCCAAUGUGGCGGUGUUGGGAAGUGGGGCCCGGUGACAGGUGGGGACAGAUCUCUCAUAAAUGGUUGGUGGUAGUCAGCGCUUGCUCUCUGUGAGACUGAACUAGUUCUCACAGGAAUGCUCCCUUGAGAGUGGGCUUUAAUAGAACCAGGACACUCCUUGAAAUUUACCUCUUUGCACAUGUCCACUUCCCCUUUGAUCUUCCACCAUGUCUUAAUGCAGCAAGAAAGCCCACACAGAAGCCAAGCAGAUGCCAGCACCAUGCUUCUUGAACCUCCCAGCCUGCAGAACCAUGAGCUAAAUAUACCUCUUUUCUUUAUAAAUUACUCAGCCUUGGGUAUUCUGCUAUAGCAACACAAAAUGAACCAAGACACUCAGUCUCUUAGAAGUUUAGUGACUGUGAGUCAAUCUCUCUUAAGUCAUGUCUCCCAGUUUUUUACUGGACUCAGGUUCAUCAGUCUCUUAGGGAUUUAGUGACUGUAAGUCAAUGGUUCUUGAACCUGAACAACUACGAGCAUGCUUAUAAAUCCAAUGUCUGGAACUGCAAAGCCAAGCAAGGGCCAUCCCCUGGUCCACAGCAACCCUUCGAAGAAGGUGCUUCUACCCUGGGAGACACCUCCCCACUUACCCACAGAUGCCUGUAAUGAGAUCCCUCCAUCCUCCAGCCUCUGGCCACAUGCCUGC
RNAcentral lists this long non-coding RNA (33083 nucleotides) under Homo sapiens (human). RNAcentral's name for it is "non-protein coding RBM15-AS1:21". The record is from RNAcentral. Lineage: Eukaryota; Metazoa; Chordata; Mammalia; Primates; Hominidae.